GAUGAACGCUGGCGGCGUGCUUAACACAUGCAAGUCGAACGGAAAGGCUCCUGCUUGCAGGGGUACUCGAGUGGAGAACGGGUGAGUAACACGUGGGUGAUCUGCCCUGCACUUCGGGAUAAGCCUGGGAAACUGGGUCUAAUACCGGAUAGGACCACAUUUUGGAUGGUGUGGUGGAAAGUUUUUCGGUGUGGGAUGAGCUCGCGGCCUAUCAGCUUGUUGGUGGGGUAAUGGCCUACCAAGGCGUCGACGGGUAGCCGGCCUGAGAGGGUGUACGGCCACAUUGGAACUGAGAUACGGCCCAGACUCCUACGGGAGGCAGCAGUGGGGAAUAUUGCACAAUGGGCGCAAGCCUGAUGCAGCGACGCCGCGUGGGGGAUGACGGCCUUCGGGUUGUAAACUCCUUUCGCUAGGGACGAAGCGUUUUUGUGACGGUACCUGGAGAAGAAGCACCGGCUAACUACGUG
This 467-nucleotide ribosomal RNA is filed under the name uncultured bacterium. RNAcentral describes it as "partial 16S ribosomal RNA". It matches the Rfam family "Bacterial small subunit ribosomal RNA", at positions 28 to 507 of the family's 1533-position model. The record is from RNAcentral.